UUGAAUUGAUUGUGACAUAAAUGACCCUGUGUGAGAUUUGAGCCACUUGAUAUUCUUUCUUGUGUGUGAUAUGUCUCUUGAUUGCUUGCACAUAUGCCUUGGCUUGACUCUUUUUGAUGUUUCUUGAUUGAUAUGCAUGUUUGAAAGUGAUAAAGGCAGCUUUGUUGUUGAGCCUUUCUAGCCAAAUGAGCCUACCCUGUUUUGAUCCUUUGAUAGCCC
Molecule: long non-coding RNA, 219 nt
Filed under: Vigna radiata
Lineage: Eukaryota; Viridiplantae; Streptophyta; Magnoliopsida; Fabales; Fabaceae
Description: long non-coding RNA (VRAD_LNC015418)
Source: RNAcentral